Molecule: ribosomal RNA, 512 nt
Filed under: Citrobacter sp.
Lineage: Bacteria; Pseudomonadati; Pseudomonadota; Gammaproteobacteria; Enterobacterales; Enterobacteriaceae
Description: bacterial SSU rRNA
Rfam family: Bacterial small subunit ribosomal RNA
Source: RNAcentral
AGCCAGGAGCUUGCUCCUUGGGUGACGAGUGGCGGACGGGUGAGUAAUGUCUGGGAAACUGCCCGAUGGAGGGGGAUAACUACUGGAAACGGUAGCUAAUACCGCAUAACGUCGCAAGACCAAAGAGGGGGACCUUCGGGCCUCUUGCCAUCGGAUGUGCCCAGAUGGGAUUAGCUAGUAGGUGGGGUAACGGCUCACCUAGGCGACGAUCCCUAGCUGGUCUGAGAGGAUGACCAGCCACACUGGAACUGAGACACGGUCCAGACUCCUACGGGAGGCAGCAGUGGGGAAUAUUGCACAAUGGGCGCAAGCCUGAUGCAGCCAUGCCGCGUGUAUGAAGAAGGCCUUCGGGUUGUAAAGUACUUUCAGCGAGGAGGAAGGCGUUGUGGUUAAUAACCGCAGCAAUUGACGUUACUCGCAGAAGAAGCACCGGCUAACUCCGUGCCAGCAGCCGCGGUAAUACGGAGGGUGCAAGCGUUAAUCGGAAUUACUGGGCGUAAAGCGCACGCAGG